UUGACUAAUUACACUUACAUCCGCCAGGGGACUACGAGCGUCAGCUUAAAACCCAAGAGACUUGGCGGUGCUCUAUAUUCACCUAGAGGAGCCUGUCCUAUAAUCGAUGAUCCACGAUUCACCUCACCACUUAUUGCCAAGUCCGCCUAUAUACCGCCGUCGCCAAUCUACCCCUUGAGGGGUAAACAGUAGGUCCAAGGGCUUAUUGCCAACACGUCAGGUCAAGGUGUAGCUAAUGAAGUGGGAAGAGAUGGGCUACAUUUUCUAUUUUAGAACAUCACGAAAGACCACCUAUGAAAUCUGGUCAGAAGGAGGAUUUAGUAGUAAAAAGAAACCAGCAAGUUCUUUUAAAAUCGAUACUAGAGCGCGUACACACCGCCCGUCACCCUCAUCAACUCGAAACACUAAGUCUUAAAUAAAAAGUCUGCAGAAUCAAGAAGAGGCAAGUCGUAACAAGGUAAGCGUACCGGAAGGUGUGCUUGGAAC
RNAcentral lists this ribosomal RNA (486 nucleotides) under Leptobrachella pelodytoides (Thao Asian toad). Its description in RNAcentral is "Leptolalax pelodytoides (Thao Asian toad) partial 12S ribosomal RNA". It matches the Rfam family "Bacterial small subunit ribosomal RNA", at positions 848 to 1524 of the family's 1533-position model. Lineage: Eukaryota; Metazoa; Chordata; Amphibia; Anura; Megophryidae. The record is from RNAcentral.